CCUACGGGCGGCAGCAGUAGGGAAUCUUCCACAUUGGGCGAAAGCCUGAUGGAGCAACGCCGCGUGGGUGAAGAAGGUCUUCGGAUCGUAAAACCCUGUUGUUAGAGAAGAAAGUGCGUGAGAGUAACUGUUCACGUUUCGACGGUAUCUAACCAGAAAGCCACGGCUAACUACGUGCCAGCAGCCGCGGUAAUACGUAGGUGGCAAGCGUUAUCCGGAUUUAUUGGGCGUAAAGGGAACGCAGGCGGUCUUUUAAGUCUGAUGUGAAAGCCUUCGGCUUAACCGGAGUAGUGCAUUGGAAACUGGGAGACUGGAGUGCAGAAGAGGAGAGUGGAACUCCAUGUGUAGCGGUGAAAUGCGUAGAUAUAUGGAAGAACACCAGUGGCGAAAGCGGCUCUCUGGUCUGUAACUGACGCUGAGGUUCGAAAGCGUGGGUAGCAAACAGGAUUAGAUACCCGAGUAGUC
RNAcentral lists this ribosomal RNA (465 nucleotides) under uncultured bacterium. Its description in RNAcentral is "partial 16S ribosomal RNA". It matches the Rfam family "Bacterial small subunit ribosomal RNA", at positions 338 to 795 of the family's 1533-position model. The record is from RNAcentral.